GAUGAACGCUGGCGGCGUGCCUAAUACAUGCAAGUCGAGCGAACAGACGAGGAGCUUGCUCCUCUGACGUUAGCGGCGGACGGGUGAGUAACACGUGGAUAACCUACCUAUAAGACUGGGAUAACUUCGGGAAACCGGAGCUAAUACCGGAUAAUAUAUUGAACCGCAUGGUUCAAUAGUGAAAGACGGUUUUGCUGUCACUUAUAGAUGGAUCCGCGCCGCAUUAGCUAGUUGGUAAGGUAACGGCUUACCAAGGCAACGAUGCGUAGCCGACCUGCGAGGGUGAUCGGCCACACUGGAACGGAGACACGGUCCAGACUCCUACGGGAGGCAGCAGUAGGGAAUCUUCGGCAAUGGGCGAAAGCCUGACGGAGCAACGCCGCGUGAGUGAUGAAGGUCUUCGGAUCGUAAAACUCUGUUAUUAGGGAAGAACAAAUGUGUAAGUAACUAUGCACGUCUUGACGGUACCUAAUCAGAAAGCCACGGCUAACUACGUG
This 497-nucleotide ribosomal RNA is filed under the name uncultured bacterium. Its description in RNAcentral is "partial 16S ribosomal RNA". It matches the Rfam family "Bacterial small subunit ribosomal RNA", at positions 28 to 507 of the family's 1533-position model. The record is from RNAcentral.